GUGGGGCGGAGGUGUGAUAGACAUUUUCUCGCUCGCUCUCGUUCCAUUUUGGGAAAAUAGCGUUUCUCUUUCUCGCGCCCAGUGGAAACCUUUGGGGGCGUGGCUGGGCAGUUGCCAUCUGGGUAGUGUUUGAGGAAGUUUUAGUGCCUACCGUUUGUGCAGGUGCCUUCUUUAUUUCUUUAUUGAUGCUUUGUACCCCCAUUUCCCCCCAGAAACACCAUCAAAUUUCUUUCCUGUCCAGGACCACAAAAAGUCAGAGAAUCAGCAGGAUCAGUGGAGAAUUCCACCCCGGGACAUUGGGUACAUCCUCCUAGGAAAAAAUUCAUUCCGACCAGAAAAGUCGGGGAUUGGGUUUUCCUUCGGUCUUCACAGUGCCUCCAGGCUUUUCUGAAAGACUCAUCAGUCCAACUUCCUUCUCCUACACUCUGCCAAGUUCUUUGUAGUGCUGAGUCUGAGUAAAGGGGGUGGAGUGAGGAUGACAAAUGAGGAACUAGGCCCCUUUCCCUAAACCUUGGUUUUGUUGGGGGUGCUGGGCAAAGAAUCCAGGACCUCAUGCAUGCCAGUCUCUACCACUGAACUACUGCCCUAGUCCUGAAAGUCUUGCUUCCCAUGAUAUUGCUGCCAGUAAUUUGUCCUGUGACCCUACUGGGCACUAAGUCUCAGUUAUUUUGUCCAGGUAGCGAGCACACAUCAUGAUACUCAGCCUGAAUUCCUUAGCAGUGUCUUUCCUAUCUUCUAAAUUAGUUGAACCUUGCUCCUUUAGUCUUUCAAGCCAGACCAGAAUGGUGAGAACUUAUUUCCUCCUUUUCAGAAACACACACACAUAUCCACUCAAAAGUUAGGGUCACCGACUCCAAAUUACAAGGAAGGGGCAACAUUUCAAUAGGAAAAUCCUUUCUUAAACACUGUAAUUCAAUAGAAUGUUUCAUUAACAGAUAAAUUUAAAAGCUCCCUUUUAGUUAGUAUCCUCUUUGCCAGCCCAGGCUUUUCUUUCUUUCUUCUUUUUCUUUUUUUCUUGGUACUGGAGUUUGAACCCAGGGGUGCUUGACCACUUAGCCGUAUCUCCAACCCUUUUUAUGUAUUUUAUUUAGAGACAGGCUGUCAUUGUAUUGCUUAGGGUCUUCCUAAAUUGCUGUGGCUGGCUUUGAAUUCUCGAUUCUCCUGCCUCAGCUUCCUGAGCUGCUGGGAUUGCAAGUGUGCACCACCACAACAGGCUAAACUAGGCAUCUUUGUAUGUUAAAUCCUUCAAUCCUCACAAACAUUCCAAGGGAUGGG
Molecule: long non-coding RNA, 1275 nt
Filed under: Marmota monax (woodchuck)
Lineage: Eukaryota; Metazoa; Chordata; Mammalia; Rodentia; Sciuridae
Source: RNAcentral